RNAcentral lists this ribosomal RNA (253 nucleotides) under uncultured bacterium. Its description in RNAcentral is "partial 16S ribosomal RNA". It matches the Rfam family "Bacterial small subunit ribosomal RNA", at positions 524 to 776 of the family's 1533-position model. The record is from RNAcentral.
UACGUAGGUGGCAAGCGUUGUCCGGAUUUACUGGGCGUAAAGAGCGCGCAGGCGGUCGUUCAAGUCGCGUGUGAAAGCCCCCGGCUCAACUGGGGAGGGUCACGCGAUACUGAUCGACUCGAAGGCAGGAGAGGGAAGUGGAAUUCCCGGUGUAGUGGUGAAAUGCGUAGAUAUCUGGAGGAACACCGGUGGCGAAGGCGGCAUCCUGGACCAACACUGACACUGAGGAGCGAAAGCCAGGGGAGCAAACAGG